UGGGGAAUAUUGCACAAUGGGCGCAAGCCUGAUGCAGCCAUGCCGCGUGUAUGAAGAAGGCCUUCGGGUUGUAAAGUACUUUCAGCGGGGAGGAAGGGAGUAAAGUUAAUACCUUUGCUCAUUGACGUUACCCGCAGAAGAAGCACCGGCUAACUCCGUGCCAGCAGCCGCGGUAAUACGGAGGGUGCAAGCGUUAAUCGGAAUUACUGGGCGUAAAGCGCACGCAGGCGGUUUGUUAAGUCAGAUGUGAAAUCCUCGGACUCAACCUGGGAACUGCAUCUGAUACUGGCAAGCUUGAGUCUCGUAGAGGGGGGUAGAAUUCCAGGUGUAGCGGUGAAAUGCGUAGAGAUCUGGAGGAAUACCGGUGGCGAAGGCGGCCCCCUGGACGAAGACUGACGCUCAGGUGCGAAAGCGUGGGGAGCAAACAGG
RNAcentral lists this ribosomal RNA (429 nucleotides) under Chloroflexota bacterium. Its description in RNAcentral is "Chloroflexi bacterium partial 16S ribosomal RNA". It matches the Rfam family "Bacterial small subunit ribosomal RNA", at positions 355 to 776 of the family's 1533-position model. Lineage: Bacteria; Bacillati; Chloroflexota. The record is from RNAcentral.